UCUUAUGUACAUGCCUACAACAAUAAUGCAUCGGAUCCCAUCAAAACUCUGCAAUUAAGUGUGUUUGGUCUAGAUUAGUACUGGGAUGGGUGACCUCCUAGGAAUUCCUAGUGUUUUACAUGCC
This is a non-coding RNA of Picea glauca (white spruce), 124 nucleotides long. NCBI's taxonomy places the organism in Eukaryota, Viridiplantae, Streptophyta, Pinopsida, Pinales, Pinaceae. The record is from Rfam.